CCUACGGGUGGCUGCAGUGGGGAAUAUUGGACAAUGGGGGCAACCCUGAUCCAGCCAUGCCGCGUGUGUGAAGAAGGCCCUCGGGUUGUAAAGCACUUUCAGUGAGGAAGAACGCCUGGUGGUUAAUACCCAUCAGGAAAGACAUCACUCACAGAAGAAGCACCGGCUAACUCCGUGCCAGCAGCCGCGGUAAUACGGAGGGUGCGAGCGUUAAUCGGAAUUACUGGGCGUAAAGCGCGCGUAGGUGGCUUGAUAAGCCGGUUGUGAAAGCCCCGGGCUCAACCUGGGAACGGCAUCCGGAACUGUCAAGCUAGAGUGCAGGAGAGGAAGGUAGAAUUCCCGGUGUAGCGGUGAAAUGCGUAGAGAUCGGGAGGAAUACCGGUGGCGAAGGCGGCCUUCUGGACUGACACUGACACUGAGGUGCGAAAGCGUGGGUAGCAAACAGGAUUAGAUACCCCGGUAGUC
Molecule: ribosomal RNA, 465 nt
Filed under: Vreelandella stevensii
Lineage: Bacteria; Pseudomonadati; Pseudomonadota; Gammaproteobacteria; Oceanospirillales; Halomonadaceae
Description: partial 16S ribosomal RNA
Rfam family: Bacterial small subunit ribosomal RNA
Source: RNAcentral